RNAcentral lists this ribosomal RNA (468 nucleotides) under uncultured bacterium. Its description in RNAcentral is "partial 16S ribosomal RNA". It matches the Rfam family "Bacterial small subunit ribosomal RNA", at positions 28 to 507 of the family's 1533-position model. The record is from RNAcentral.
GACGAACGCUGGCGGCGUGCUUAACACAUGCAAGUCGAACGGAAAGGCCCUGCUUUUGUGGUGUUCUCGAGUGGCGAACGGGUGAGUAACACGUGAGUAACCUGCCCUUGACUUUGGGAUAACUUCAGGAAACUGGGGCUAAUACCGGAUCGGAGCUCCUGCUGCAUGGUGGGGGUUGGAAAGUUUCGGCGGUUGGGGAUGGACUCGCUUCUUAUCAGCUUUUUGGUGGUGUAGUGGCUUACCAUGGCUUUGACGGGUAGGCGGACUGAGAGGGUGACCGGCGAGAAGGGGACUGAGAGACGGCACAGAAUAGAAAGGGAGGAAAAAGUGGGGAAUAUUGAAAAAGGGGCGGAAGGAGGAUGAAGAAAAGCGGCGAGCGGGAUGACGGCCUUGGGGGUGAAAAAAGAGUUGGACUGAGACGAAGAGUGAGUGACGGUAAUGGGUAAAGAAGCACCGGCUAACUACGUG